CCAGAAUACCAUUACACAAACAUUCAUGCAAGCAAAUUACAAAACCAAAACAUCACAGCAUCCUUAUACAAGUAUGCAUAAAGACAUACAGACAGACACUGGUUUAACCAGAGAUUUCGAUAGCCUUAACAUCAGGUUUGGUCACCUCCACUUUCGGAACAGUAACAGUGAGCACACCACUCUCCAUGGAAGCCUUAAUCUGAUCCAUCUUCACAUUCUCAGGUAACCUGAACCUCCUUGAGAACAUGCCACUGCUGCGCUCAACGCGAUGCCACGUGUCGUUCUUGUCUUCCUUCUCAAUCUUCCUCUGACCGCUUAUCUGAAGCACCCUGUCGUCUUCGACCUCGACCUUCACUUCCUCUUUCCGGAGCCCCGGAAGAUCGGCCUUGAACACGUGGGCUUCCGGGGUUUCCUUCCAGUCCACGCGGGCAUUAACGACAGCAGAGGUUUCUGGAGGGAACUGAGAGGACAGCGCAGACGAAUAACCGGAAGGGAAAGGGAAGUCCCUGAAUGGAUCCCAAACGUCGAGUGAAAAUGGAUCAGAGACACUGCUGCGUCGGUUUCCGAAGAAGCUUGGAAUCAACGACAUCGUUUCUCAAUAGAGUGAUACGGCUUUCGGUAUUUUGCUGCUGAUGCGAAUAAGAGGGUAAGUGAUUGGGUAUUUAUACAACUAUAGGAGAUUUCUGGUGAUUUCGGGGGCAUUAAUUGCUUCAUCUUUUGACUUGACGGGAACCGACACGAAACGAGGUAUCUAGUAUUCUCUUUAUUAUGAAAUUUUGUGGGCUUUGCUCGAAGGUUCUGGAUUUUGCAUGUUAAAAGCUUUCAAGCUUGUCUUGUCUGUCAUACGGAGAACGAAAUGUGAAGUGUCGUGUCGGUUUCUUAUAUUUUAACUGGAUGACAUAAGUAUCUUUGUUUCUUGGAUACAAAACUAUGGAUCUACAUGAGAAGAUUUGAAAGUUGCAUUGGCAAAGGUUUGUCCUGUUAAAAUUACUUCAAUGAUUGGUGAAAUUAAUCCAAGUAAUUUUAAGUUAAACUGAAUUGAUAUUCCAUUUUGGUCUUAAUUCAUUUUGGAUAAAAGGACACCCAUAAUCUAAAAAAUUUUGGAAAAUUAAUAAAGGGGCAUUAAGGUGGCGUUUGUUUUUUUGUCUGAAAUCUGAAUAGACCUGAAUUAGUCUGAAUUCUGAAUAGAUCUGAAUAUCUAAAUCUGAAUAAUAUGUUUAUUUUUUCAUCUGAAUGUCGAAAAAUAAGUAUUAAGUUGUUUGUUUUUUUCAACUUAAAAAGUUGAAAAUAUGUACUUUUACAUUUGUAUUCUUAUUAAAUUUGAAUGUCAAAUAAAUAAUAUAUUAAAUACCACAAUAUUUUAACAUUUAUAAGUAAAACUAUAUUCAAGUGAAUACAUAAUUAUUUUAGAAUUUUAAUAUAUAAAAUACCAUAAAUUUCAAAUUUUAUCGUAUAUAAUAUAAGAAAGAAAAAAUAUGGAUAUUUUUAUGUGGGGAAAAUGUCUAUGGGUGAGUUUUGGGAUAGACAUGAAAAAUAAAUUAUAAAGCAAUGAUAUUUUUGACAUUAGCAAGUAAUUAACUUAAUUAAGAUUUCUCCAUUAAGUAAAAAGCAAAAAAAAAAUUGGCUUAUUUUAUUAAGUCAAAAUGAUCAAAAAAGUAUCAUUAAGUUAUAAAAACAAACACUUCUAAUUAACUUAAUUAAUUAAGUUAAGUUACUUUAAGUCAUUAAGUUAAAAAACAAACGCCACCUAAGUUUCCUUUUGACUAUAACCCUUAGUGAAUAAUAAUUCACAAAAUUGACUUUAAAUUUUUUAAUAAACAUUAAAACAUAAAUAUUAUUUAAAUAGUUUAAUUUGUCUAGUAGAUUGAUAAUAUUAUAAUAAUUUAAUUAUGAAAAAAUAAUUUUUAAAAUGUAAAUUUUUAUAUGUUUUUAAUAAUGUAUUUGUAUUUAUUAUAAAAAAAUUUAAAUAAAUUUUUAGGUUAAAUAGAUUUUACAAUUAAUGAAAUAUAUCUCAUGCAUUAGUAAUAUUAAAAUUAUUGUAUCUAAUAUUGAAGUUAAUUUAAAUUUUUAACAUACUUAUUUUAUUAUUAUGUUUCUAUUUACUAUAAAAUUUAGUUUAAUAAAAUAUGAUAUUCUAAUAUAUAUAUGAGAUUUUGUGUUUAAAACUUGUGUUUUAUUUUGAAGUUUUAUUGUGUGGUGAAUUUUUACUGGUAGUAAGUCCCGCCAUAAGAUAAGGAUUCCGUUCAGGGCUGUAAAACCAUACCUGUAGCCACAUUAACCGAACCAUAAGUAGACCAUAGGUUUUACCCAUGGACCCUCCACUCUGUAGAACAUCAUCCUUUUCUAGCUCUUCUUCUGGGAAGACUAGUGAUUCAAAGCAUGUUGUGAGUUCAGAAGAAUUCAUUAUUGAGAACUUUGAUAAAGCAAUUGAUUAUUGGGAACUUCCAAAAAUUUCUAAAGAAAAGAUUUACAAAACAAAAAAGCUUGAUUUUUUAAAAAAUGAUUACGUUAUAAAAAUUGAAGAACGAGACAUAACUCUUUCAGAGCAUUUUAAAACAAUUCAUUUGUUUUCAGAAAAAUCUUUAAAGAAAUUAAAAGAAAAGAAUUUUAAUUAUAUUCACAUCGGUUUGAUUCAAGUAGGAAUAAAACCCUUAACCAAAGAAGGCUUGGAUACCUCUAUCCUUGCUGUCCUAAGAGAUGGGCGAUUCAUCUCUUUUGAUGAUUCUUUGCUAAGUAGCAUCGAAUCCAGUCUCUGUAAAUGUCCAAUUUCUUUUGAUUGUUAUCCAAACAUAACAAUUUCUCUUAAAGACAAAAACAUUUUUAAAAGUAUGAUUUUACAAAUCAAAACACAUAAUUAUAACAUGAUUAAAGGAUCUGUUCCUGUUGCUUUAAUUUUUAAAAUCUCUUAUAAAGCCAUGAUAUCUGCUUUUAGCACACAACAUAAAUUCCAGUAAAAAAGAGAAGAGACUCUCCUCUUACAGACUGAUUUGUCAAGAGCCAACACUGUCAUUCCAAAACCAAUCCAAUGGAAAGAUGUUCAUCUUCCAGAGGAAUGGAUUCUUGAAGGAGCCGCUCCACCAACGAUUCCAAAACAACUUGAGCCAAAUACAGAGUUACAAAAUGUGACUCAGUAUUCUGAUGGCAAAGUCAAAUUAUCUUUCAGGAGAUCUAAUUCAACCAGAUUUUCUGAUAAAGAGUCAUGCUCAAGUAUCCCUUCAUUAGAAAGAAAAUUUACAAAAAUACCCUCUGUCUUAAAUCUUCCUUUUACAGCAAAUAGUCAAUCUAGGUUUUCCACUUCGGAUAUACCUAGUUCCUCCAUACGUUCAGUUGACUAUGCAACUAGUGUUCCCCAUCCUAUUUACACUAGUCGCCAGAUACAGGAAGAGAAAGAACAUUCUCCUCAUACUUCUCCAACGUUUUCUGCUGUCACAGAAAAUGUCAUAAAUGUCCUUGAAAAAGAAUUUGAAAUAGAUAAAAAUCUUUUGCAUAAUGAUUUUUAUUCUGAAUCUAAUAAAGAAAAAAGAAUUUGGUUUUUUAAACACUUUUUGAACCAAAGAAAAGAAAUCCAACAAACUUACUAUGAAUUUGUAAAUUUAUAUCAAGUUCAUAUAUUGUUUUUUGAUUGGUUCGAGAUAUACUCUUCUGAUAACAAUAUUGAUUAUCCUUUCAAAGAGUCAAGCCCUAUUACUAUUAGGAAGAAAAUUCCUGAGUGGAAACUUUCUGAUAGUGAUAGAACCGUAGAAUCUGAGCAUCCACCUCUUCGGAGUAUAACCGUUGAUCACGGUGAACCUCAUGUCCAAAUUAGGGCUUCACCCUAUAAAAUCCCUAAGCCAAAUGAUUCUGAUGCGAAUUUGAGUAGUAUUAUCCAACAGAAUAAUGUUGUGCAAAUUUUGUUGAACUCGCAAGCGCACGAAUCUAUUGUAGUAUAGAUCAAUGGUGACGAGUGUCGAUCCCACGAGGAGGUGAAUUUUUAAUUAUGUGUAGAAUUAAUUCUGUAAAUGGGUGGUUGGAAUUGUGGUGGAAGUGAUUUAAAAUAUGCUAAAAUUGGAAUUGAAAUGACGAUAAUAAAUAUGCUAAAAUUGGAAUUGCAAUGGCGAGAAUAAAUUGUAGAGAAAAUCGAUUAAAUUGACGUACUUGGGUAUCUGGAUCCGUAUCAACAUGCAUCAUGGGCUAAAUAAUCCGUAUUAAUGACAAUUAAAUCAUGAGGGGGGAAUCCACACCUCAUGAACCACGCUCUAAUCAAUAUGGUGCUAAGGGCUUAUCGUGCCAAAUAAUAAUAACCUUAUACUAGAGAGCCGGUGUAACCAAUGCGGUAUCUAGACAAGAUUAUUAUUAUUUGUCGACGAGAAGUCAAAACAUCCACAAAAACUAGAGGGGAAGAGAAAAUAAAUUUACCAAAUUAAGCUCAUGACACAUGUUGAGACUUCACCUUCAACCCAAGCUUGAAAGAAAAUUAGCUACUCAUAAUUGAACUAGGGGCAAAAUGAGAAUUUAUUAAAAUACAAAGAAAAUACAAGAUGGAGAAGGAAUUACAGAAAAUGGAUCCCAAAAAUGGAUUCAGAGAUAUCAAAUUAGGGGGGAGAGGCCCCCUUUUUAUAGAUACAUGGAGUAAAUCAUGGCCAUCGGAUUAAAAACAAUUUGGACGCUCAGGAUUGCGCCACGUCAUCAGUCAACGGUCCACGGUUUGACCACGCGUAUGAAUAGUAACACGGUUUGACCCGGAUGAACAGUAACGCGGUUUGGUUGAAAAUAAUCCUGUGUGAUGCAUGCACCGUACGCGAGAUUUUUCGUCCACUGAUAUGCUGCCACGUCACCAUCAACAAUACAUAAGAAUUUUAGUCCAACAGGAUCGUGACACCUCAUCAGUCAAUGCCACAUCAUCGGUCAAUGCCACGUCAUCGAUCCGUCUAUGUGAACAGUUUCGUGAACAGUAACGUAGACAGUACCGUACACGUGAAUAGUACCGUACAUGUGAAUAGUGCCAUUUUUCCUUUUAUGCUCCUCCUAAGGUUUUCGACCGUCCUGAGUUCAAAAGUGAUGUCCGUUUUGCCGUCUGAUCUCUUUUUUAUUGUGAAAUGACUAUAAUACCCCUAAAAUACAUAAAAUACUUAAUUAAAAUAAAACACACGGAAUUAAAUCAAAAGAAGGUUAAAUUCAUAAAAGUAAAGGUGUUAGUAAAAUUUGUAGUGUAAAAUGAUGAUUUUCUCCUUUAUAAAUAUACAUUUUCUAACACUCAACAAAUAAUUUAUGUAAUACUAACUUAAAUACAAUUGGAAAGCAAUUGGCCCGAAUAGAAAACCAAUUUCAAACCUCAACUAUAGCAGUUUCCACUGUUCCAUCAAAAUCAGAUUCUGACAAAAAGCUUAAGGAACCUAUUUUCAAACCUUUUCAGGUUUCGAGAACUAGCCAAAAGCUUGUCCAAGAGUCAAAGUCAGAUUUUGCCAAAGCCAUUAGAGAACAACUAGAUAGGAUAGAAGCUACUUCUUCCUCAUCUAGCAAAGUUCAAAUAGCACUUGAUACUCUCCAAUCUAGCAAGAUUGGAGUAUUAGAACAUGACCAGGAGUCUAUAGCCUCUUAUGAUCUAGAAGCCUUUAAAGAAGAACAUAUUCCUAAAGCCAACAAAAUCCAUUGGGAAUUAGCCCUCUCAACUACCAAGUCUCCACCUGAUUUGACCAUAGACAACAGGCCCAGUGCAUUAAAUCAGUCCCGAUAUAAUGCAUCCUCUGUCUAUGAGUGGAAUAUAGAUGGAAUGUCUGAAUACAACAUCCUAGGUGUAUUGCAGCAAAUGACCAUGGCAGCCAAUGCCUAUAAAACCCAAUCGAGAACGUCUGACAAAGCCAUUGCAGAAAUCCUUAUUGCUGGUUUUACUGGUCAACUUAAAGGAUGGUGGGAUCAUCUUCUUACCAAAUUACAGUAAUUAGAUAUCCUAAACUCCAUACAAACAGAUGAGAAUAGUGCCCCCAUUCUUGAUGAGUUUAAUAGUCCAAUUCAGGAUGUUGUAGCUACCCUGAUUUUGACUAUAUCCCUCCAUUUCAUAGGUGACCCUUCUCACCUUAGAGAUAAAAACGUCGAGUUACUACACAACCUAAGGUGUAGAAAACUUAGUGAAUUCCAAAGCUAUAAAACCACAUUCUUCACCAGACUUUUCCUUAGGGAUGAUGCAAAUCAUACAACUUGGAAGGAAAAAUUCCUUGCAGGUCUACCUACCCUACUAGGAGAAAAGGUUAUGAAUUCCAUUAAAGCCCUUUAUGAUAACCGUAUUCCUUACGAUGAGCUCACCUAUGGUGAACUUGUCAGUUUCGUCAAUAAGGAAGACUUAAAGAUUUGUCAAGAUUUGAAAUUACAGAAACGACUUAAAUGGGAGCUUAAAAGGUCUAAGCAAGAAUUAGGCAGUUUCUGUAAACAAUUCAAUUAUGACCCCUUUAAGACUUCUACUUCCAAAGAUUGUAAUGGUAAGUGUCCUACAAAACCUUACAAGAAACAUUACAAGUCUAGAUUCUGUAAAAAACCCUUUCAAGACUUUAGAGAAAUUCAUUAUAAGAAACCUUCGAGGCCUUAUAAGAAAUCUAAUUUCUCUAAAAAGAAAGAGUUUAAAGCCAAACCAAAAACCCCGUUUAACUACAAAGAAGCCAUUUGUCACAAAUGUGGUAUAAAAGGCCAUACUGCAAAGUAUUGCAGAAUGAGCAGAAAGCUCCAUGAGCUAGAUCUAGAUGAAGAAACCCUCUCUAAAAUUACCUCUCUGCUCAUAGAGUCUUCCGACUCUGAGUCUUCCAUGUCGGGAGAUAAUGACCCUCUUCAAGUUGAUGAGUUAAUUGACUCAGAUGACUCUGCAUCUAGCAGUAGUGAUUCUGAAUCAGAUUCUUAUUUAAAGAAAAUCAAUGUUUUGACUAAAGACCAAGAAAUCUUUCUUGAACUUGUUAAACAUAUUUCUGAUCCAAAUCUUCAAAAGGAAUACCUUGACAAACUUUUCAAAACUCUGGAUUCUAAUAAAGCAGAAACUUCUAAAGUUCCAAUUGUUAAAAAGAAUUCUUACGAUCUCACUGAAAUUCUGGAUAAAAAGAAAACAAAAAAGUCAAUUCCUAAUAUUCAAGAUCUUCAUAAAGAAAUCAAAGAUAUCAAACUUAAAAUUAAAGAACUAAAAGAAAAACAAAAGAAAGAUUCUGAAACUAUUCAACUUCUCAUACAAAAACAAUUAGAAGAAAAUUCUGAAAAAGAAGUUGAAUCUGAAAGUGAUAAUGAACAAAAAAUUGACAACAUUGAAUCUGUACCCAAUGAUUUUCUGUUUGUCCUAAAACAAAUCACCACCAGAAAAUACUUAAUUAAAAUCACUUUAAUUUUUUCCAAAGACUUUGCUAUUGAUGACAUUGCCCUUUUUGACACUGGUGCCGAUCUAAAUUGUAUAAGAGAAGACAUUGUCCCCAAAAGAUUUCAUGAAAAAACAAAAGAAAGGCUUUCUACCGCCAACAAUUCAAAACUUAAAGUCAAUUCUAAAGUUGAAGCUUCAAUCCAUAACAGUGGUUUUGAAUUUAAAACUUCAUUUCUUCUUACAAAUGACAUUCACCAUACUGUCAUUUUGGGAACCCCAUUCAUAAAUUUAAUUACCCCAUAUACUGUCAAUUAUGAUAGUAUAUCUUUUAAAGCAAAGUCCAAAAAGCUUGUUUUCCCUUUUAUUGAGAAACCAAAAACAAGAAAUCUAAAUAUUGUUAAAGCUUGUUCUGUUUACCAGAAUCAGAUCAACGCCAUGCUUAAAUCUAAAAAAAAUGACUUGUUUUGUUUAAAAAAAGAUUUAAAUCUACAAAGACUUGAAAGCCAAUUACAAAAUGAAUUUAUACAAAGAAAAAUCUUUGAUUUCAAAAAUCUCAUUGAAAAAGAAAUAUGUGCCGAUUUACCAUCUGCUUUUUGGAAAAGAAAACAACAUUUGGUAGAUUUGCCCUAUGAAAACUCUUUUGAUGAAAAACAAAUACCCACUAAAACUCAUCCAAUCCAGAUGAACAUGGAAUUGGAACAACAUUGUAAAAAUGAAAUAAAAGAUUUGGAAAACAAAGGACUCAUUGUAACAGUUUAAAACCCAUUUUGUAUAUAAAUCUCGAGGAAGACUUAGACUCCUCAGAUUUUUCAUUUUUCAGUUUUUCCUCUCUUUCCUUCUCUCUCUCUCUCUCUCUCUCUCUCUCUCUGGGAAGUCUGGAUCAAGACAUCCAGGAAACCAUCCUGUCUUGUAAAUGAUCAAGACAUCAAGGAAGUUUCCUGUCUUGUAAUCUUCCCGUCUUCAUUGUAAAAUCUAGAUCCCCAUGGUCUUGUGCCGCUUUCUAUGUCAAUAAAAACUCCGAAAUAGAAAGAGGAAUACCAAGACUUGUAAUAAAUUACAAACCUUUAAAUAAAGCCCUAAAAUGGAUUAGGUAUCCUAUACCUAAUAAAAAAGACUUACUCCAAAGAUUGUGUUCAGCUUAUAUUUUUUCAAAAUUUGAUAUGAAAUAUGGUUUUUGGCAAAUCCAAAUCCACCCAAAUGACCGUUAUAAAACUGCCUUUACUGUUCCUUUUGGACAGUAUGAGUGGACUGUAAUGCCAUUUGGUUUAAAAAAUGCACCCUCAGAAUUUCAAAGAAUUAUGAAUGAUAUUUAUAACCCUUAUUUUGAGUUUUGCAUUGUCUAUAUAGAUGAUGUGUUGAUUUUUUCUCAAACUAUUGAUCAACAUUUCAAACAUUUAAAGACCUUUUAUUUUGCCACUAGAAAUGCUGGUCUAGCCCUUUCUAGUUCAAAGAUUUCAUUAUUUCAAACAAAAGUCAGAUUCCUUGGUCACUAUAUUUCUAAAGGAACUAUCACCCCUAUUGAGCGAUCACUUUUGUUUGCUGAUAAAUUUCCUGAUAAAAUCAUUGAUAAAACCCAAUUACAAAGAUUUUUAGGAAGUUUAAAUUAUGUUCUUGAUUUCUGUCCUAAUAUUAACCGAAUGUCUAAACCUCUGAAUGACAGAUUGAAAAAGAAUCAUGUUGCAUGGACAGAUGAACGUACUAAAGCUGUCCAAUUGAUAAAAAAUUCUGUAAAGAAUAUCCCCUGUUUAUUUUUAGCAAAUCCUGCAUUGCCUAAAAUAGUUGAAACUGAUGCAUUUGAUUUAGGUUAUGGAGGUAUAUUAAAACAAAAAGAAAAUGAUAAAGAACAAAUAAUACAAUAUGUUUCUGCACAUUGGAAAAAGAUGUUCGAAAUAUUACUUCAAAACAAAUUUUUGCAAGAUGGCAAGUCAUUUUAAGUGUUUUUGAUUUUGAUAUUGAAUUUAUUAAAGGAGAUGAAAACUCUGUUCCUGAUUUUCUAACCAGAGAAUUUCUUCAAAACAGAUAAUGCCGCCAUAGGUCACCCCACUGGUUUGGGCUCAAGACUUUUAAGAUAGUAGCCGUGGAAUAGGCUGGCUCUGAAUGGGUUUCACUGAGAAAGAAAUGUUUGAAUUUAACUGACUCAGUAACUUCUAAAAUGCUUUGAUAGUAAGACUGGGGUUUUGUUAAAUCCCAUGGUUUAAAAAACCAGCCUUUGGGGAAAAACUUUGAAAUUGCUUGAAAAAGAUCAUAAUGGUAAAAUCCAUCUUCUAUAGAUAAAAUGUUUUGAAAAUGGGUUUUAUCAAACCAAUCGGAAGAUUUCUUUGAAGGUGUUGGCUGAGAAAGCACAAUUUGAGAAGAUGAGCUUUCACCAGAGACAACUACAUUUUGAGAAGAGGGUUUUGAAAUCUCUUUGGGAAUAUGGUUUUCUCUUUCAAUUUCUUAUAUAUAUAUAUAUAUAUAUUUUGCAUACCAAAUUUAUUUUUCAGUGUAUGUAUUGUUAUAUAUAUUUUAAUAUUCUACUUCUUAUAAUAAAACAUCUGAGUUAAUUUUUUUAAGUUAAUAAAGUUAAAAGGGUAUUUAAGUUAAAAAUGGGUCUUGGUAUCCCUUGGAAAAAAAUAUGGGGGUCUAUAUGAAUAUUUUUUCAAAUCUUAGGGUUGUAAAUACCCUUUUCCUUAAUUUUAAUUAAUAUAUUAAGUAAGAAUUGAUCAAAGAUCAACGAUACUGUUCCAUCAAUUCUUGAUGAAGUUUGCAAUCAACCACAUUUCUUAAUUUAAUUACAUAUUUUCUUGUUGAAUGAGUGAUUACGUAGUAGGGGUGGGCAAAAUCGGAUUCGGGUCGGGUUCGGGUCAACCCGAUCGGGUUUCGGGUUAUUCGAGUUGUGAAAAUAUUGAUCCGAUUACAACCCGAACUUACAAUCCGAUCUGAUAUGAUCCGAUAUAUAUUCGGAUCGGAUAAAAAAUCGGGUUGAAUUCGGGUUGAAUCGGUUCGGAUUAAAAAUGGAUCAUAUUGCAUUCGGAUGAAAUUAGGCCAAUUCGGGUUGAUGAAAACGGGUAAAUUCAAAACAUAUAUACCGAUACACCAUCAAAGCUUCAAAAUUCAAAACACAUAAGGGAGAAACUCGGGUCGGGUUGGAGCUUGAGCCUUGGAGUAGCAGAUCGGCGGCCACGGCAGCAGCUUAGAAUAAUAAAUUUAAUAAUAAAUUUAAUAAUAUUAUAAUUAAUAAAAUAAUAAUAACAAUAAUUAAAAUAAUAAAUUUUAUAUUUUAAUAAUAGUAAUAAAAAUAAUAAAUAAUAAUAAUAACAACUUAAUUAAAGUAAUUGUAACAAUUAAAAUAAUAAAAUAAAUAAAAUUAUCUGCAGCCGCCGUGUCAUAAAAGUCAAAUUUGUGCAAUGGUAUCUCUGACAGCUGAUUGGCAAAUUGUUAAAAAAAUUCAAAACCGCAACCUUCUCCUCUAGCUCUGUGUAUUUUUCCUGGCAAUGAAUCCCAUUAGCCAUUUAAGUCCUCGUCUUCAUUUUUGCAGCCACACCAACAGAAACAAAAUGGAGAGACAAGAACAACAAAAGGCCAGCCGCUUGGUGUUUGUGUUGUUUCCAUCUCAAGGCCACAUAAAUCCUAUGCUUCAGCUUGCCACCAUCCUUCACUCAAAAGGCUUUUCAAUCACCAUCAUUCACCCAAAAUUCAACUCUCCCAACUCAUCUAAUUAUCCUGAAUUCACAUUCAUACCCAUAUCAGAUAACUUACCUGAAAGCCAAGACUCAUUUGGGGAUUUUGGCAUCGUUUCCGCUCUUAACAAGAAUUGUGAAGGACCGUUGACUGAAUGCAUUCAACAAAUGUUGAAAGCAGAGGAUCCGCAAGAUCGGCUUUCGUGUAUCGUUUAUGACAGCGUUAUGCACUUUUCUCAAAGUGUUGCUGAUCAUUUAAAGCUUCCGGGAAUCAGUGUUCGUACUGGCCCUGCUGCCACAGUGUUGGCCUUCGCUGUCUGUCCUCGUCUUGAUGAGCAAGGUUACAUCUCCUUCCUAGGUAAAGUUUGAAUACUUCGUAUGAGUGGCUAAUUUGAUAACGAAACUAGAUACAUGUAAUUAAUUUUAUCUCCCUCGAAUUUGCGGAAUAGUUUCAUUGAAACAGAGGUAAUUAGGCCAAUCCGGUUUGUCCUCAAGACUCUUUGAUAAUAACUUACCUAAACUAGCUUCCAUUGUUAUAGCUGAUAUGCCAAUUGUGCAACAGAAUCUAUGUCCCUGGACGGAAAGAGCGAUCUCCUGUCCCUCCUGCUUAAGGAACUAGCUUUUUCAAUGAAAAAAUUUACAGCCCCUGGUUUCUUAGAGUUAAGAGCUGCUGUAACAGAUUCAGUGCAAAGGUGUUCAGCUCUCAUUUUUAACACAGUUGAUUUCAUUGAACAAGAAGCACUAACAAAAGUUCAAGAACUAUUCUCAGCUUCAGCUUUCACCAUAGGUCCUUUUCACAAAUUAGCGCCAACCAUUUCUAGUUCAUUACUAAAGGAAGACAGUCAUUGCAUUUCUUGGCUAAACAAGCAAGCUCCAAAGUCUGUCAUUUAUGUAAGUUUUGGCAGCGUAGCUAGUAUAGACGAGAAAGAGCUGCUUGAAACAGCUUGGGGCCUGGCAAACUGUGAGCAACCUUUCUUGUGGGUGGUUAGGCCAGGUUUGGUUCGUGGCUCGAAUUGCUUGGAACUAUUACCAAUUAAUUUUCAAGAUAGCGUUGGAGAAAGGGGUUGCAUUGUGGAAUGGGCACCGCAAAAGGAGGUGCUAGCAAAUGAUGCUGUAGGUGGGUUUUGGAGCCAUUGUGGCUGGAAUUCUACUCUCGAAAGCAUUUGCGAAGGCAUUCCAAUGCUAUGCAGGCCAUUUUUCGGGGAUCAAAACUUAAACAGGAGAUAUGUGUGUGACGUUUGGAAUGUAGGCUUGGAAUUGGAGGAGUUCGAGAGAGGGAAGAUUGAGAAAGCUAUAAAAACACUCAUGGUAGAUACAGAAGGCGAAGAGAUGAGGAAAAAGGCAACACAUUUGAAGGAGAAGGUGGGGCUGUCUCUGAAAGAAGGUGGUUCUUGCUACAAUUCAUUGAAUGAUUUAGCUGAGAAAAUCUUAUCAUUCCGACCAAAUGAAGAUGGAGCUUCUGGACCAACCAGUGUUUUUAGCUGCUGAAGUAUCUAUUAGAUUUAAGGCUUGAAUAAUAUCCUGGCUCAUAUGUCACAAAUUUGAUGUAGAAGUUUUAAAAGCUUUGUGGAUCUUAAGACCAUUGAUAAACAUUAUUACUUCAUGAUAUUGAUUCUCUUAAAUGUUACAGUGAAGACUCCAAAUGUGUUGUGAAGAAAAUGAUCAGAGGAAAUAGACAAAACGAAGUAAAUAUAAAGCCAAAGGAGAAAAAGAAAAAACAAAUCUUCUAAGGAACUGAAAUCAGAUUCCGAGAUUAGGUACAAACCUGCCAACAAAUCAUCCCAUGAAAACUUAACACAUUCACACAGAUCUAGGCCACAUGCAAACAAAUAUGAUAAACGCGAUCACCGUUCCAUUUUUUCAUUUUCCGAGUUUCUUAAAUUUACCUUAUCUGCCUUUCAACUUAAUUCGGCCUAAUAUGGCUAGUAUCUAUGUGCUUGUGACUGUGAGAUGUUACAUUGUAAAAAAAUAAUCCACACCUCAGUUACAUGUGCUUGAGAUGCAUAAAAGUGGAUCGAUGUGCCAUCUAAAACAAAAAAACUGAAUAGCAGUAAGACUGGAGAUACACACAGAUGGAGGAGCAAAAGCAGAGACAUUGCUGAUUGGUGCUAGGGCCAUGUCCAUUCCAGGGACACUGAAAACCAAUGCUUCAGCUGGGAACCAUUCUUAAUUCAAAGAGUUUUGCAAUUACAGUUGCAGACACCAGAUUUAUUUCACCUAAUCCUUCAAACUACCCUAAUUUUGAUUUCCUGCUGAUCGUGGGUGGCUUCAUCAGUUCUAACCCUUCCUUUGGGGAUUUGCUGGCUUCCAUUCUACUCCUCUAUCACAAUUCCAAAGCACCUUUCCAGCAAUGCUCUACUCUAUUAAUGGAACAACAGAAGGCACAGCUGAGGUGAUCUCCUGUAUCCUCCACGAUAAAAUCAUGUAUUUUUCAAAAGUUGUAUCAGCCUGGAGCUUUCAAGCAGCAGCUUGUGCCCUGCUAGUGCAGCGCAAUAUAAUUCUCGCAAAGCCAUUCCUCAGCAGGGUAUGUAUCCCGUUUAAGAAUUUAUAGAAUUUCAGGGUCGCAUCAUUAAGCAUUUUUUCCAAGCAUUCUGUAAAAACUGCCUUUCUUAAGUCCCAAUUAUAGAGUGAAUCCUAACUAUAGAUUGAACAGAUCAUGUGCAGAUAAAGUCCUCUUUUUUUUCAUUUUUUAUUUGGAAUUUCAGGCCUUGGAUUAAAGGACAUAAUGCCUGAGUUUCAUCCCCUCAGGCUAACAGAUCUGCCUUCGUCCAAAUUUGAGUCUCUGGAAUAAUUGUCACUUGGACAAAGCAUUGCUAUAUUACAAACUCUUUCAGCUCUCACUUUCAACACAAAUUCAAGAGCAUUGCCAAGUUCCAAUCUUCUCAAUAGGCCCUCUUCACGAAUUUGCACCAGUCCUCUCUGGCGGCUUGUUAAAAGAAGACCUGAGCUGCAUUACACGGCUUGACAAAGAAUUCUGUUUUAUACAUAUAUAAGCCUAUCAAGUGUAACGCUAAUAGAUGCAAAUGAACUACCAGACAUGGCAUGGGGCUUUGCCCAAGAGCAAGCAGCAGCCUUUUCUUGCAGGCGAUUUAAGGCUGGCCCACUGCUUGGUUCAGGUUGGCUUGAGUUACUGCCCAAGGGUUCGAAGAAAGAGGCUUCAUUGUGAAAUGAGCACCACAGAGACACGUCUUGGCACUUCAAGCUUUAAGGGGUUUUCUUUGAAAGAGAAGGUUGACACUCGUAUGGCGAAGGUUGUUCCUUCUACAACUACUGGAAUGAGUUGGCGAAAUUGAUCAAGUCAUUCUAAAUGCAAUUGAUUUAGCGCUUCGAAAUUGAUCAAGUCAUUCUAAAUGCAAUUGAUUUAGCGCUUACAGCUUUAGGGGAAUUCUGGAGCCAUUGUGGUCGCAGUCAGACUCUGGAAAGAGUAAGAGAAGGAAUUCCUGCGAUGUGAGGGCUGGAGAUUUCAAAGAAAAGAUUGAUAUUUGUAUUCACCAAGGCUGCUCCUCCUACUCCAAGCAGUUAAUGAUUGAUCGAGUCAUUUUAAAUGCAGUUGAAUUAGUGCUUGAUUUUGUUUCACCUACGAUUUUAUCCAUAUUGGCUGGAGACAUAGGAUUCAUGAUAUGUUAGCUUAUUGAUUACAUACGCAUAGCAUUCAUGUACCAAACACUGUAAAUUGGCGAAAGGGAAAACCAUCAAAGCUCAAAUGAAUCCAUAUUGAGCUAGCAUUUAAAAGAAGAGAUUGCAGAAGUCGUGUCAAAAAACAGUCCAGUUUAUUGAUUACACCCAGAAUACCAUUACACAAACAUUCAUGCAAGCAAAUUACAAAACCAAAACAUCACAGCAUCCUUAUACAAGUAUGCAUAAAGACAUACAGACAGACACUGGUUUAACCAGAGAUUUCGAUAGCCUUAACAUCAGGUUUGGUCACCUCCACUUUCGGAACAGUAACAGUGAGCACACCACUCUCCAUGGAAGCCUUAAUCUGAUCCAUCUUCACAUUCUCAGGCAACCUGAACCUCCUCGAGAACAUGCCACUGCUGCGCUCAACGCGAUGCCACGUGUCGUUCUUGUCUUCCUUCUCAAUAUUCCUCUGACCGCUUAU
Molecule: long non-coding RNA, 15067 nt
Filed under: Citrus maxima (pomelo)
Lineage: Eukaryota; Viridiplantae; Streptophyta; Magnoliopsida; Sapindales; Rutaceae
Description: long non-coding RNA (CMAX_LNC003551)
Source: RNAcentral